UUUUCUUUGCGAUUGAGGGGG
This 21-nucleotide non-coding RNA is filed under the name Caenorhabditis elegans. The record is from RNAcentral. Lineage: Eukaryota; Metazoa; Nematoda; Chromadorea; Rhabditida; Rhabditidae.